Homo sapiens (human) is the source of this 1087-nucleotide long non-coding RNA. Ensembl annotates it as mir-100-let-7a-2-mir-125b-1 cluster host gene. Its record names the gene MIR100HG. Lineage: Eukaryota; Metazoa; Chordata; Mammalia; Primates; Hominidae. The record is from Ensembl.
ACUCUUGGAGUAGCAAUUGCUGGAUGUGCCUCUUUUGUUGAGGUGAUUGGAUCUUUUGGCAAAAACCAGUGACUGCAAAGGAUGAGAGAAACGAUCAGAAAAACUGAAAAGCUGUAGGAGACCAAACACUAGUGUCUCCCCUGCUUCAGGGGACACCCACUGUCAGAGUGAACGACAAAGACGCGCGUGGAUGAUUUGAAGAUAUUAGCCUAACAAGAUGGAAGCAGGUUUAAAAUUUUACAUAAGAAGUUACCUUUUUCAGGUAAUGGUGUUUUUCUGUAAUUUUCCCAAACCUUUCGCUUCCUCAAGUAUUGCAAAUUUUUAGGGCAUGCUUGAAUGAUUUAAUUAUGAAGAAUAACUACAUUUUAAACUUAAUUUUUUAAAAAAGAAACCAGUUUUAUAAUUUUCCUAGCCAAGGAGUAGAGCAGGCAUGACAUUCAACUCUAUGGAGUUUGGAAAAUUUUUAGAAAUUUAUUACUGAACAGCACUUGGUUUUUUGGAUUUGAAAAUUAAGCCAUAGAGCUACAACUAAAUUCUGUUUUGCCAAACUUCACAGCACCAGCAGGCUCUGAGCAAUCAUAAGCAUUUGAAACUAGCAGGCACUGCCCCUUAACUCUGUCGCUAUCUUGGGCAUUUGAAUGAAAAAAUAUAAGUAUUACAGGAUUGGCUCUAAAAAGCCUACCAUGUGUUCUGAAUUCCUGGAAGAUAGAGCUUAUAUAAAUUACAUAAUAACAAUAUUGAUUUUUUUUUUUACUUUAGUCAUAGAUUGGCAAUACUAUAUGGCACUUUAUGAAACUAUUCCCAUGCAUAUAUUCAGUGAGUAGGAUUUGAUCUUAGCUUUCAUGAUACAGGCAGUUUCCUUUUAGUGUCAUUGAAGGGCUUUAUGCCACCUAAAAAUGUUUAAUAACAUAAAUUAUAUAUUUGCUUUAUAAGUUACAUUACUCGGCCUUUGUCACUGCUUAUCAGCAUUAACCCAUAUUUUCCAACUUGUUAAUAUUACUAAGAGAGCCCACGGAUUCUUGCUUAAUGAAGCAAGCCAAAAUUUCUUCUGAAAAAAACCCCUCAUUUUCCUCCUCAACACAAAGAA